RNAcentral lists this ribosomal RNA (274 nucleotides) under uncultured bacterium. RNAcentral's name for it is "partial 16S ribosomal RNA". It matches the Rfam family "Bacterial small subunit ribosomal RNA", at positions 523 to 796 of the family's 1533-position model. The record is from RNAcentral.
AUACAGAGGGUGCGAGCGUUAAUCGGAAUUACUGGGCGUAAAGCGCGCGUAGGCGGCUUGGUCAGUCGGAUGUGAAAGCCCCGGGCUCAACCUGGGAAUGGCAUUCGAUACUGCCAGGCUAGAGUAUGGGAGAGGGAAGUGGAAUUUCCGGUGUAGCGGUAAAAUGCGUAGAUAUCGGAAGGAACACCAGUGGCGAAGGCGACUUCCUGGCCAAAUACUGACGCUGAGGUGCGAAAGCGUGGGGAGCGAACAGGAUCAGAUACCCUAGUAGUCC